RNAcentral lists this ribosomal RNA (664 nucleotides) under uncultured bacterium. Its description in RNAcentral is "partial 16S ribosomal RNA". It matches the Rfam family "Bacterial small subunit ribosomal RNA", at positions 1 to 643 of the family's 1533-position model. The record is from RNAcentral.
GGCCGCGAAUUCGCCCUUAGGGUUUGAUCAUGGCUCAGAUUGAACGCUGGCGGCAGGCCUAACACAUGCAAGUCGAGCGGUAGCACAGGAGAGCUUGCUCUCUGGGUGACGAGCGGCGGACGGGUGAGUAAUGUCUGGGAAACUGCCCGAUGGAGGGGGAUAACCACUGGAAACGGUGGCUAAUACCGCAUAACGUCUACGGACCAAAGAGGGGGACCUUCGGGCCUCUUGCCAUCGGAUGUGCCCAGAUGGGAUUAGCUAGUAGGUGGGGUAACGGCUCACCUAGGCGACGAUCCCUAGCUGGUCUGAGAGGAUGACCAGCCACACUGGAACUGAGACACGGUCCAGACUCCUACGGGAGGCAGCAGUGGGGAAUACUGCACAAUGGGCGCAAGCCUGAUGCAGCCAUGCCGCGUGUGUGAAGAAGGCCUUCGGGUUGUAAAGCACUUUCAGCGAGGAGGAAGGCCAAUAACUUAAUACGUUGUUGGAUUGACGUUACUCGCAGAAGAAGCACCGGCUAACUCCGUGCCAGCAGCCGCGGUAAUACGGAGGGUGCAAGCGUUAAUCGGAAUUACUGGGCGUAAAGCGCACGCAGGCGGUUUGUUAAGUCAGAUGUGAAAUCCCCGCGCUUAACGUGGGAACUGCAUUUGAAACUGGCAAGCUA